RNAcentral lists this ribosomal RNA (496 nucleotides) under uncultured bacterium. RNAcentral describes it as "partial 16S ribosomal RNA". It matches the Rfam family "Bacterial small subunit ribosomal RNA", at positions 29 to 507 of the family's 1533-position model. The record is from RNAcentral.
AUGAACGCUGGCGGCGUGCCUAAUACAUGCAAGUCGCGCGAACGGACGAGAAGCUUGCUUCUCUGAUGUUAGCGGCGGACGGGUGAGUAACACGUGGAUAACCUACCUAUAAGACUGGGAUAACUUCGGGAAACUGGAGCUAAUACCGGAUAAUAUUUUGAACCGCAUGGUUCAAAAGUGAAAGACGGUCUUGCUGUCACUUAUAGAUGGAUCCGCGCUGCAUUAGCUAGUUGGUAAGGUAACGGCUUACCAAGGCAACGAUGCAUAGCCGACCUGAGAGGGUGAUCGGCCACACUGGAACUGAGACACGGUCCAGACUCCUACGGGAGGCAGCAGUAGGGAAUCUUCCGCAAUGGGCGAAAGCCUGACGGAGCAACGCCGCGUGAGUGAUGAAGGUCUUCGGAUCGUAAAACUCUGUUAUUAGGGAAGAACAUAUGUGUAAGUAACUGUGCACAUCUUGACGGUACCUAAUCAGAAAGCCACGGCUAACUACGUG